This 465-nucleotide ribosomal RNA is filed under the name uncultured bacterium. RNAcentral's name for it is "bacterial SSU rRNA". It matches the Rfam family "Bacterial small subunit ribosomal RNA", at positions 338 to 795 of the family's 1533-position model. The record is from RNAcentral.
CCUACGGGCUGCACCAGUAGGGAAUCUUCGGCAAUGGACGAAAGUCUGACCGAGCAACGCCGCGUGAGUGAAGAAGGUUUUCGGAUCGUAAAACUCUGUUGUUAGAGAAGAACAAGUAGGAGAGUAACUGCUCUUACCUUGACGGUAUCUAACCAGAAAGCCGCGGCUAACUACGUGCCAGCAGCCGCGGUAAUACGUAGGUGGCAAGCGUUGUCCGGAUAUAUUGGGCGUAAAGCGAGCGCAGGCGGUCUUUUAAGUCUGAUGUGAAAGCCCUCGGCUCAGCCGAGGAAGGUCAUUGGAAACUGGAGGACUUGAGUGCAGAAGAGGAGAGUGGAAUUCCAUGUGUAGCGGUGAAAUGCGUAGAUAUAUGGAGGAACACCAGUGGUGAAGGCGACUCUCUGGUCUGUGACUGACGCUGAGGCUCGAAAGCGUGGGGAGCAAACAGGAUUAGAUACCCUCGUAGUC